AGAGUUUGAUCAUGGCUCAGGACGAACGCUGGCGGCGUGCUUAAUACAUGCAAGUCGAGCGAGGUUACUGUUUUGGAUCCCUUCGGGGUGAAGAAGCUUUAACCUAGCGGCGGACGGGUGAGUAACGCGUGGGUAACCUACCCCAAAGUCCGGGAUAACAGCGGGAAACCGCUGCUAAUACCGGAUGCCUUUACCUUGGGGCAUCUUGAGGUAAAGAAAGGCAACGCUUUGGGAUGGGCCCGCGUCCCAUUAGCUAGUUGGUGAGGUAACGGCUCACCAAGGCGACGAUGGGUAGCCGGCCUGAGAGGGUGGACGGCCACACUGGGACUGAGACACGGCCCAGACUCCUACGGGAGGCAGCAGUAGGGAAUAUUGCGCAAUGGACGGAAGUCUGACGCAGCGACGCCGCGUGAGCGAUGAAGGUCUUCGGAUCGUAAAGCUCUGUCCUUGGGGAAGAAGGCGAAAGCUUGACGGUACCCAAGAAGAAAGCCCCGGCUAACUACGUGCCAGCAGCCGCGGUAAUACGUAGGGGGCGAGCGUUGUCCGGAAUUACUGGGCGUAAAGGGUGCGUAGGCGGCCCUUUAAGUCGGAUGUGAAAGCCCGCGGCUUAACCGCGGAAUGGCAUUCGAAACUGGAGGGCUUGAGUGUCGGAGAGGGUAGUGGAAUUCCCAGUGUAGCGGUGAAAUGCGUAGAUAUUGGGAGGAACACCAGUGGCGAAGGCGACUACCUGGACGAUAACUGACGCUGAGGCACGAAAGCUAGGGGAGCAAACAGGAUUAGAUACCCUGGUAGUCCUAGCCGUAAACGAUGGGUACUAGGUGUGGGUGGUUUCGAUACCAUCCGUGCCGUAGUUAACGCAUUAAGUACCCCGCCUGGGGAGUACGUGCGCAAGCAUGAAACUCAAAUGAAUUGACGG
RNAcentral lists this ribosomal RNA (916 nucleotides) under uncultured bacterium. RNAcentral's name for it is "bacterial SSU rRNA". It matches the Rfam family "Bacterial small subunit ribosomal RNA", at positions 8 to 916 of the family's 1533-position model. The record is from RNAcentral.